AACGAACGCUGGCGGCAGGCUUAACACAUGCAAGUCGAACGAGAUCUUCGGAUCUAGUGGCAGACGGGUGAGGAACACGUGGGAACAUCCCUUUCAGUUCGGAAUAACGUUGGGAAACUAACGCUAAUACCGGAUACGUCCUUCGGGAGAAAGAUUUAUCGCUGAAAGAUUGGCCCGCGUCUGAUUAGCUAGUUGGUGAGGUAAUGGCUCACAAAGGCUACGAUCAGUAGCUGAUCUGAGAGGAUGAUCAGCCACAUUGGGACUGAGACACGGCCCAAACUCCUACGGGAGGAAGAAGUGGCGAAUACUGGACAAUGGGCGGAAGCCUGAUCCAGCCAUGCCGCGUGAGUGAUGACGGCCUUCGGGUUGUAACGCUCUUUUGUCCGGGAAGAUAAUGACUGUACCGGAAGAAUAAGCCCCGGCAAACUUCGUGCCAGCAGCCGCCGUAA
Molecule: ribosomal RNA, 449 nt
Filed under: uncultured bacterium
Lineage: Bacteria
Description: partial 16S ribosomal RNA
Rfam family: Bacterial small subunit ribosomal RNA
Source: RNAcentral